Glycine soja is the source of this 7031-nucleotide long non-coding RNA. RefSeq lists it as uncharacterized. NCBI's taxonomy places the organism in Eukaryota, Viridiplantae, Streptophyta, Magnoliopsida, Fabales, Fabaceae. The record is from RefSeq and is a predicted model, not a curated record. The transcript has 3 exons.
UAAAUGUAUAUCACUCUUUUCUUUUUGCCUUUAUGGGGGUUUGAUUUUUGAGUGUUUUGCAAAGGAAAUAUAGAAAUAAAAAACAUUUUUAUUUUGCUCGCUUCCUUAUCCUAGAAUUUUGUUCUAUUUUAUUAUAACAUAUCGAAACAUUGAAAUGGAGGAUUUAUUCUAUUAUGAUCUGUUUUACUUUAUUCCAUUUCAUUAUUAUCUUCCUGUCUUAUCUCUUUCUAUUUAUUCAAACAUAGGCAGGACUGUUAGAUAAAUUUAUUUAUAAUUACUUAUAAAAAAGAAAAUAAGAAGAUAAAAUGAAAAAAACUUUUGUACUUCAGCUUUUGGAUAAGUUAGAUGAGACGAGUUUCUAUAAAAGUUAAACUUAUAAGUUAAUUUUAAUUUAUGGGAGAAGUGCAAUUUAUUUUACCUUUUUAUUUUGUUUUCCUAUAAACACUUAGGGCCAUAGUCUUCGUUUUCAACAAUUGAGAGGUUCAGUGUUAAUUAGCAUGGUAUGGAAUGCUUCGUUAGUCAUAUUCAAUUCAUCUCUUAAUCAAAGACUAUCACUGCUCUGAUAGAUGGCAUUUAAAUGUUCUUAUAUUUGUUUUCCACUUGGAAAGUUAAAUCUCAGAAAAUUUAUGUGUAGCUUGAGUGUUGAAAGAGUGGUUUCACUGCCAGACAGUAGCGAUGCAAGAUUAAUGAGUUAGGAUUUAUGGUCAUUUUGGUGCUUCAUUGGUUUUGUCUGUCAGAUUGGGAAUUUAGAAUGCACAUUGUCAGUGUACUCCCUGCACAAUCAAGUGGUUUAUUUGCUAUUACUUGAGUUAAUACCACAGCAAUCAAUAUUAGUUCUCAUAAUAGUUUUUUGAAGCUGAAUUUUCUUUUUCAACUUGAAUAUGCUUUUGUACUGGUGUUUUACUUAGUAUUUGGGAAUGAGGAAAAUGGGAUGGCUGUUUCAAAGUGGAACAUUUGGUAGUUGUUUGAACCAGUGCCUCUGCUAUCCUAUUUUAGUUUUCUGUUAAACUACAUUUGAUGGCAUGAUUUUAUCGAUGCUUUGACGACUGUGUUGAAAUGAUUAUAGGUUCAUCUAAUCAUUUGAUCUAAUAUAGGUGAUACUCGUUUAAGAAUCAAUCUUUAUAUACGAAAAAAACUUUAGUCCCUAUACACCACCCUUAUUAGCCUAUAUUGGUCCUUAUUGUUACUAUGUUUCUAGAAAAACUUGAGCUUUAGUUCCAUACAUUCUUAUAGGGACUAAAACUUCUUUUUUUUUUUUUUCAUAAAGGGAUUGAUUCUUAAACGAGUGUCACUUAUGGAGACCAAAUAAUUAAUUAAACCAUGAUUAUAUUUGAACGAUGCAUGUGAUGAUAUCACUAGCAUGAAGCUUCAUAGGUGGAAUAUGAACCAAAAUUUUUAACUCAAGGUCUUUUUGUAUGACUGCCACAUUGUGUGGAAUUUGGCUUCUCCAAUUUGCAUAUUAUGGCAAUCACUUCAAAUCUGUAAAAUCCAUGCAGAUUGAUAGCUUGCAAAAUCUAAUUUGUGGAAGUAAAGGGAAUGACUAGAGUCAAUUCUGCCCCCACCCCCUUUUUUCCUUUUCUUUUUCUAAGAUCUAUUUUGGUUCAUUUGUGUAUCACUUAUAUUGGGUUUUUCGUUCUUCCAGCUUCGGAAAUGAAAAUUCUUGUUGCAAAUGAAAAAUGAAAGAAUUUCUGAUGGUGGCACUAAGAGCCACAAGAGAAUAUCCUAGGGUUUAAAAGUCUACUAGAGAGAAGAUAAAAUGUGCAAUUAAAAGAUAUCCGUUCAUUCAUAUGUGCUCCAGCAACAACAAAACAUUAAGUAGUCUCACACUAUGGGCUAAUAAUAAAACAGGUAACUACUUGGGGCCAAAUUAGGAAAUAAAAGGGAAUAUAAUAUAUCCUAAUUAAUAAUAGUCCUUGGACUAGAAAGGCUUGAAAAUGAGACGUUUGGGCCUUGGGGUAGCUGGGUCCAACCCGUUAUCAAUACCCCCAUCUUUAGAAGGGACCUUGUCCUCAAGGUCGACAGACACAUGGCGUGUGUUGGUAGGCUGAUCCAGAAGCAUGCAGAUUGUGCUUUUUGGGAACGACCUAGAUGAGUGCGACACAUUCAACUGUGAGGAAGGAGCUAACAAGAAACAAGUUGGUGGGGCAGAAGCGGGUUCCCAAAAUGCGUCUUUGGGAAGAGAUGCGUCAAGUGGUCGGUCCAACAGAGACGAGACAUGUGUCAAUGAUGGAAGUGAUCGGAGCAACUUUCAAUGGUGCAGAUUGUUCCGACCCUUUUUGACUGAAACUGAAGAGAAAUGGUGAGAUGAAGUAAGUUGUGUACUUGGAAAGAUCUCAUUUUAACUUUAGGUGAGUUAGGAGAAGAGAAAGGAAGUGGAGAGUCUCUUGGAUUUCCUGAGUUGAGGGAGAUCAUUGCCGAUAAGAACAUGGUGGUGAACGGUGGUUGGGUGCCACCAUAGGGUCUCAGCAUGGAGACGUGCACUACUGGAUGAAUGCGCGAAUCCGGAGGAAUACACAACUCAUAAGCCACAUAACCAAUCCUUUGAAGGAUUUUGAAAGGCCCAAAGAAGCAUUUGGAAAGCUUUUGAGAAGAACGACAAACAACAGUUUGUUGGCGAUAUGGUUGAAGUUUGAGCCAAACAAAGGCACUAGGCUCAAAGUUGUCCCUUGAACAUAAUCAAGCAGUGUGGGAGGGGGAUGACCAUACAAGGCCGUGAAAGGUGGCAUGUCGAUGGAUGAAUGGAAGGCUGUAUUAUACCACAACUUAGCAAGGUGGAGAAACUUGAACCAGCAACGUGGGCGUUCACUUAUAAAACAUCACAAGGUGGCUCCUUGGACGUGAAAAAAGUUCUUUUCAGAAGGCACUCAUAAAAAGAGGGUUGUGGUCUGAGGUGAUAGUUUUGGGAAUGCCAUGCAGACGAGCGAUUUCACAAAGAAACGAGAGGUCACGUUUUGAGCUGUGAAUUUGGCAGGCAGAGCUACAAAAUGAGUUGACUGGGACAAACGAUCACAAACAACCUAGGUAGUAGUAUGACCCAAAAAGGUAGGUAAAUGAGUGGUGAAAUCCAUCGUCAAAUCUUCCCAAACUUUCUUUGGUAUAGGUAAGGGUUGUAAUAGCCCCAUUUGUUUCUGUGGUGGGUAUUUGUUAUGUUGGCAAAUAACACAUAAGUGAAGGAACUACUUAGUAUCCUUGUACAUGUUGGGCCAAAAAAAAGAAGUAGCCAAGCGGGCCAUGGUGGGUUUGAUGCUGGAGUGGCUCAAAGUGGGAGUGCAAUGAUUUUCUAGGAUCAAAGAGUUGCACAAAUCUUUGAAAUCCAGGAUGAAGAGUUGCUCCCGAACAUAUAAGAGACUGUCUUGUAUCUUAGACACAACAACUAUAGAAGUGUUAAAAGUGUACUGAGUGAGGAGAGCUAUCAGUAGAAUAAAACUAUUGCAAAUGCCCUAUCAACGAUGGAAUGGGAGAUGAGGUGAAAGACAACAAGAAGGCCUCUUCUUGCUGAUGGGAAAGAGCAUCCACAACUAUGUUAGACUUGUCAGGUUUAUACAGAAUGUCAAAGUUAUAACCUUGUAAUUUACAAGUCAAUUUUUGUUGAUCGGGGGUCUAAAUUGUUUGUGACAACAAAUUCCUUAAACUUUUCUUGUCUGUGAAAAUUUGAAAUUUCUUCCAUAUCAAAUAUUAACACCAUUUUUAUGGCGUUUGUGACAACAUACAUUUACCGAAUGCAAGCAAAGGCGACACACAUCUGAGGAUUCAUCUUCUUGCAGAAAAAGGCUAGCAUAUGAUUAUCUUGGCAAAUGAUAGCUCCAACAGCCAUCAUAGAAGCGUCUGUUUCUAUUGUGAAUAAUUUUGUAAAAUCUGGCAAGGAUAGCACUAAGGCUUCUGUUAUUUUUGUUUUUAACUGUGUAAAAGCCUCAAAUGCUCUUGUAUUCCAAGAAAAAGCAUUGUGACGCAACAAAUCGAUGAAGGGAGUGGCAAGAGAGGCAUGAUGUUUAAUAAACCGCCUGUAAAACCCAGUGAGGCCAAGAAAUCCUUUGAGUGCCAUGAGAGAUUGUGGCUUCUACUAGUUUAAAAAUACUUACACUUUCUUUGAAUUUGGGGCGAUACCUAACUUGGAAAUCACUUGUCCUAGAUACUGCACAUUAUCCACAACAAAGACAUAUUUAGGUAAUUUAGCAAAGAAUUGAUUAGAAACAAGUAAGUUUAAGUGAGCUAAAUGAGAAUACGAAUUGUUGUAGAUUAGAAUAUCAUAAACAACAACUAGAACAAGUUUCCUAAGGUAGGGUCUUAGCAAGUCAUUCAUAGAUUAUUAAAAGGUAGAGGGAGCACUAGUAAGCCCAAAAGGAAUUACUAGGAACUCAUAGUGCUCGUCGCAAGUGUGGAAAUCAAUCUUGUGGGUGUCCUUAGGGAUGACCCUAAUUUGAUGGUAGGCAUAGCGGAGAUCAAUCUUAGUGAAAAUGGAUGCUUCAUCCAGUUCGUCCAAUAACUCAUCCACUAUAGGAACAUGAAAGUGGUCCUUCAUUGUGAUUGCAUUAAGAGCUACAUAAUCUACACAAAAGUGUCAAGUCCCAUCUUUUUUUUUUGCACUAGUAGGAUUGGGGAUGAGUAAGGGUUGUGAUUAGGAGUAGUGAUGCCAUCUUUUAGCAUUUCCUGUAUAAGAGUGGUCAUAAUUUCUUUUUGGUAAUGAGGGUAAUGGUAAGGUUUAACGUUAACAAGGGUGGUGUUGGGUAAGAGUGGAAUAUGAAGGUCAUGAGGUCUAGAAAGGGGAAGGCCUUUGGGUUGGUGAAAUAAUGUGGGUAAGAGGAUAAAAGUGCAGUAAGAUCGGGUGGUAGUGGUUCAGGUGGAGUGUUUUGGGUGGGUUUGGAUUGUAACAAGUGUAGAGAUGCAAUGGCAUCAAAGUUGCGUAAGUUACACAUUUGGUAGAGGUUGGCUGUUUGGGUGGGUGAAAGGGUGGUGCCACAUAGGGUCACAAGGGAUUAAUCAAGGGUAAAGUAAGUUGUAGAAUGACAAAGUUUGCACUGACCGUGCCUAAGGUAGAAAGCCACUCUAAUCCCAAAACUAUGUCAGCGCCUUCUAUAGGAAACAAGUAACAAGGAACGUAGAAUGUGUGACCUUGAAUCUACAGCUGCUCUUGGGGGCAUAGACGAGCACAUGCUAUUUUGGUCUUAUUACCAACCAUAAUAGAGGAGGGUUGUGUAGGGAGUGUGGGUAAUUGCAAGUGAGAAGCAAUCCUUGGCUACAAUAUAUUAUGGGAACUCCUUGUGUCAAUUUAAACCUACAUAGUAAGGCCACCUAGCAAACUAGAGAAUUUCAAAGAUUUGAGAGAUGGUUGUCCCAGAAUAGCCUGAGGAGAUAAGUGAAAAUGAAUUGGUUCCCUCUAGAAAGUGGGGAAGGGAACCUUUGUGUCUGUGAGGUCUACAACAUCACAGUCUUUAUCCACCAAUAGUAGAAAAUGACCUGAUUGACAUUUGUGGCCAAUAACUAUUUUUUCAUCACAAUAAUAGUAAAGACCUUGUGGUCAGCGUUCGUGCAUAUAAGCAACAAAGAUGGGCUUAAGGGAAGUAUGGUGGGUGUUGUUGCCAUGGUUUGUGGUUGUAAUGAGGGAAGUGUUUGAGUUAGGGACAUUGGUGGUUAUAGGGCUAGGUUUAUGGAAGUAUAUGCAGAAGAACUCACUGUAGCACGAUAGGACUUAGGUCUAGCAUCUUGUAAUUUAUUCUCCACUAGUUUGGCUAAGCCUAUCGCACGAGAAAUUGGGUAGGGAUGUAAAAUGAUAAAUUCUCUACGAAUUUCUGGCAACAAUACAAAGAUAAAACAAUUCAGAAUCUCAACAAUAAGACUAGUGACACGAUUGCUCAAUUUCUCAAAAGCAGUUCGAUAAUCUGAAACAGAGCUUGUCUAUCGUAGCUUAAAUAAUUUUGCUUGAUGAUUUGCAUAAGUGGAGGGGGCCCAAUCUCAAUUCCAAAGCUCUAGUAAAUGAAGGCCAAUCACUUAAUUGAAAAUUUUGGGACAUCCAUUUAAACUAGCUAAAAGUUUCCCAUUUCAUAUAAAAAGGUGCUAAGGAUAAAUGGUGUUCAAGAGGUAUCUAAUAAUACAAAAAAUACUAAUAUGCUUGAAACAACCAAUCUAAUUGAUCUAAACCAUCAAAAGGGGAUAGUUGGAUUUUGGGUUGGUGGGGAAUUUAGGGGCUGUUUAGGAAAAGUUGUGAGCGAAAUGUGUUAUCAAAGGAAGAGAGCAAUAACACCCUGGCUAUCAUUGUCGUUUCCUUUUGCAAUGCACUUGAUCAUAGCGUUACCACACGCGACCAUCGUGAAGUCGAAACAGAACCACCAUGGCUUUUGCACAAGGGUUUCGAACCCCCCUAACCCCCCUAUCUCCUGUGUGUGACCUUGGUGUUACUGCAAAAUCCAUGUUUCUUUCUUCUUCUUUUUUUUCUUUCUACACUUACAUCUUUCCCACAGCAAGCCCAAAUCACUAGGGCCCAAACUGCACUCAUGUGUUAUUUCUUUUCUAAACCCACCUCGUGUUUUAACAAUUGUUUUGUUUUUAUACUGUGUCAUCAAGUUGUUUUGAGGUUUGGAUUUGAGGUCACAACACCUUGAGGACAGGGUAUUUUUGAUGGGCCAGAGGAUGUUAUGAAAGGAAGAGAGCAACAACAAUGGGUACAACAAGCAAUUAACACUAAUACAAAGAUGCAACAAGCAGACACAAGGGAGACAAGCACAAAUCAGAGGCCCAAAAGGAGAAUCAUCAAACCUCAACAUUUGAAAGAUUUCAUAUAACCAAUUCUGACCAGGAAUGCUGAGCUAGCAUAACUUAAUUGGCCAAAUGAGCAUAUGUUGUCUGCCAUAUAUGUUUCUAUCUGUUAUUUGCUAAAUUCCAUUAGUGUUGUUAGUACAAUUUGUUAGAAUUUAGUUAACAAUUUUUCAUAUUUUGGUGCUUAUAUAUGAAUGAAUCAUGUAAUGGAAAUCAAGCAAAAAAAUAAUACAAGUCUUUCCUUCCUUCACCUUUUUCUUAGGAGGUUUCUAGGCCUCGAA